AGCAGCCGCGGUAAUUCCAGCUCCAAUAGCGUAUAUUAAAGUUGUUGCAGUUAAAAAGCUCGUAGUUGAAUUUCGGGAUCAAGGGAUCGGUCAUGCCUUGGUAUGUACUGGUCUUAUUGGUUCUCACCUUCUAAAGAACCAUAAUGUCAUUUAUUUGAUGUUAUGGGGAAUUAGGACUGUUACCUUGAAAAAUUAGAGUGUUUAAAGCAAGCUUACGCUUGAAUACAUUAGCAUGGAAUAAUGAAAUAGGACAUCAGAUUCUAUUUUGUUGGUUUCUAGGAUCGAUGUAAUGAUUAAUAGGGAUAGUUGGGGGCAUUAGUAUUCAAUUGUCAGAGGUGAAAUUCUUGGAUUUAUUGAAGACUAACUACUGCGAAAGCAUUUGCCAAGGAUGUUUUCAUUAAUCAAGAACGGAAGUUAGGGGAUCGAAGACGAUCAGAUACCGUCGUAGUC
RNAcentral lists this ribosomal RNA (450 nucleotides) under uncultured Glomus. RNAcentral's name for it is "SSU rRNA". It matches the Rfam family "Eukaryotic small subunit ribosomal RNA", at positions 569 to 1025 of the family's 1831-position model. The record is from RNAcentral. Lineage: Eukaryota; Fungi; Glomeromycota; Glomeromycetes; Glomerales; Glomeraceae.